CUACGAGCCGCUCCAGUGGGGAAUAUUGGACAAUGGGGGCAACCCUGAUCCAGCAAUGCCGCGUGAGCGAAGAAGGCCCUAGGGUUGUAAAACUCUUUCAGUCGUGAAGAUGAUGACGGUAACGACAGAAGAAGCACCGGCUAACUUCGUGCCAGCAGCCGCGGUAAUACGAAGGGUGCUAGCGUUGUUCGGAAUUACUGGGCGUAAAGCGCGCGUAGGCGGAUAGAUCAGUCAGAGGUGAAAGCCCCGAGCUCAACUUGGGAACUGCCUUUGAUACUGUUUAUCUUGAGUCCGAGAGAGGGUAGUGGAAUUCCCAGUGUAGAGGUGAAAUUCGUAGAUAUUGGGAAGAACACCAGUGGCGAAGGCGGCUACCUGGCUCGGUACUGACGCUGAGGUGCGAAAGCGUGGGGAGCAAACAGGAUUAGAUACCCUCGUAGUC
RNAcentral lists this ribosomal RNA (439 nucleotides) under uncultured bacterium. Its description in RNAcentral is "partial 16S ribosomal RNA". It matches the Rfam family "Bacterial small subunit ribosomal RNA", at positions 339 to 795 of the family's 1533-position model. The record is from RNAcentral.